CACUAAGAAGCUAAAUAGGAUUAGCGUCAGCCUUUUAAGCUGAAGAUUGGUGGCUCCUAACCACCCUUAGUGA
This 73-nucleotide transfer RNA is filed under the name Naso hexacanthus (sleek unicornfish). Its description in RNAcentral is "tRNA-Lys". It matches the Rfam family "tRNA". Rfam says of the family: Transfer RNA (tRNA) molecules are approximately 80 nucleotides in length. Their secondary structure includes four short double-helical elements and three loops (D, anti-codon, and T loops). RNAcentral also lists the same sequence under 3 other names. The record is from RNAcentral. Lineage: Eukaryota; Metazoa; Chordata; Actinopteri; Acanthuriformes; Acanthuridae.